This is a long non-coding RNA of Triticum dicoccoides, 1824 nucleotides long. RefSeq lists it as uncharacterized. Lineage: Eukaryota; Viridiplantae; Streptophyta; Magnoliopsida; Poales; Poaceae. The transcript is spliced from 8 exons. The record is from RefSeq and is a predicted model, not a curated record.
UCUGUCGCCUCUCCUCUCGUAGCCUUCGGCCAGCCGCCGCCGCCGCCGCGCUGCUCGCCCUCGCGCUCCUCCUUCUGCUCCGCUGCGGGGCGCGCGCCCUCGCCUCGCGUUGCGCCUCCUGCCUCAAGCCGCCCCGCCACACCCUCUCCGCCGCCGGCACAGAUGGGGGCCUCGCCGGUGCACCCCUCGCCUCCAUGCCGCGCAUCGGGGGCGCCUGGUUCAGGGCCGCCCUCGCCUGCUCCGGCUACGUCCUACUGGCGCAGCUCGCCGCGCUGAGCUACGAGGCCGUGGCGGCGGCGCCGCCCGUCGAGGCCGAGGCGCUGCUGCUGCAGGUCGUGCAGGCCUUCCCCCAUGAAGUGGUACCUGGGCGUGGACGUCAUGGGGAUCCAUGUCAAGUCCGGGCUGGCGGCCAUGGUGUACAGGAAGGGCCUCAGGCUAUCGAAUGCCUCAGAGCAGAGCCAUACGAGCGGAGAGGCUCACACUGAAGGAGGGCUAAAUUGUGUGAUAGCCUUGUUUGGUCCUUCCAUAUACCUACAAGGUCUGAAUCAAGAUGUCAUGGUCUAUCAUUGAACUGAAUGCUUCAACGAAACUCUCAUUUCAGGUGUUGCCCGUCGCCUCCACGUCCGUCAAGUUGGCGCGUCACAUCAUCAGGAGGAGAGGAAGUUGUCAUUGCUCUGCCCGGAGGAGCGGGUCGUCGCGUCGUCGACGGGAGGAAGCCAGGUGGUGCACACUGUUGCCACCGACUACGCCCUGGGUGACACCAAUAGGAUCCAAUGGCUCGAUCCACACCCACGCGCUGCUUGGCAUCGCCAGGUCACUGUUGCGUGAUUGUCCAACAUUGCUGCCAUGCGUCCUCAAGCAGGAGGAACCGAUUUCUAAGUUGUAGGAGCAACAGGAAGGAGAACAUCUAUGCGCUCGGUCAUGCUCUCAGGAAACCAUGAUGUGUUAUUUCCAAUGAAAUGAAUUACUGGUUUAUAUGUGUUUCGUAAUCUGCUUUGAACUGUACGCCUGGUUGCUUAUUAGAUUCGAUUAUACGUGUUUGAUUCUCUGAAAAUGAUCCAGAGUAUGUGUUAGCAGGCUAAAGAUGUAUGAUUGCAUCACUGUUAUAUAUUUGUUUUUGCCAUCACUUCAUGGUUUUUGGUCUAUGCACUUCGUGUUUUCUCUUCUUCAGGUACCAUUUUUCCUGUAAGCAUUUGGGGUUUAAGGUUCAGUCGUUCGAGGGGAGCUGUGUAUCAUAUGAGGAAUGCAAUGACAGAAGUAUAGGAUGGUACCUGAAGAAUUCAUGGCUGGUCACUCAUGCAGUUGCUAAGCUCGGCGCCACCAGUUCUCUUCUUGGAUAAGAGUGGUUCUGCAAGAUAGUGAGCUUGGACGCCCGGUUGCCAUCUGCUCCUCUAGCAUCGACUUCUACCCCAGCUCCCCUCCCGUCAAGAUACUGCAAAAGGCACCUCUGCCUUUCCUGUGCAGUUAUUCAGGUAGACGUCCAGUGGUUAAGACUCUGUGCAGUCAACCAUGGCAUUGCGAGAGGACCAAGACAAGAGACUAAUGCUUCGCUGAGAAACAACAGACGCUAGAUCAUUGACUUGGACAGUCACCAUGCACCAAGUCCGUUCCUACCGGGUUACAAGUGUUGUCUUCCUCACGUGUCUUUGAGAAAUCCUAAUGUUGGAUUAGUGGUCUCAGUGUUCCCUUUUGUAUCUGUUUGCCGCCACUCUACCUCUAUCUCUUUUUGUACCACCUUCAUUGCAGUUACGGAUACAACAUUUGAUCGCUUAAUGGCUAAUAAAGUUGUCGGACAUAAGGUUGGACUGCUUUGAGUUGUUUUAA